Non-coding RNA from Arachis ipaensis, 2286 nucleotides. The record is from RefSeq and is a predicted model, not a curated record. NCBI's taxonomy places the organism in Eukaryota, Viridiplantae, Streptophyta, Magnoliopsida, Fabales, Fabaceae.
CUACAAGUUUACUCUGAUUUUGAUGAAUUAUUUUCUGCAAUCGAAGCUUUUUUGACCUAAAAUUCAUGGUCCCUGAAGAAUAUAGUACUAAAUUUGAUGGAUCUUCUAUUUUGAAGGAGACUGACAUUGGGAGGCACGUGAAUCGGUUGCAGAAGCAUUCCUCCAAUGACGUUCGUAGAUUGGUGAAGCUACUUGUGAGUGUACUUGAUUGAGCUGUUUUAUUUGCAAGAAGUGGAAGGAAAUUGUGGAUGAAUGGGUGAGGUUGAAUCAACCAGGUGGAACAGCUUUUCUCAUGGACAGGGCUUAUGGAAAAAUCGCUGAUUGAGUUCCAGUCUAAAAAAGGAGAUGUUCUUCCUGCACACAAGAAUCAGAGCCAGUGCUUAGUAGAUCUAUGUGGCGCAUUGCACUGUGACAUUGAAAUCAAUUUUGGGUUGAAAAAAUCAAAAUGUAAUCCUGCUGCUGCUGCAAGAAAUAAACAUCUGUGCGAGAGCUUAGCAGAUAGUUGUUUUCCUGUUAAUGACGGUUCUGCAGCAAGCCGACUCCAUGAAUUCUUCUUGCAACAAUUCUGUGAUGCACACAGCUGCACUGGAAGCAGGAAACCUUUCUCCAGAGGCCGCCGGAGGGAUGAAAAGGGAAACUCAACUGUUGAGGCGCAUCUUUCAAACUGGCAGAAAGAAAAACCAUCUUAAUGGAUAGAUCUGUCGCCUUUGGAAGUUCUCGCUUCUCCAACACUUUCAGAAUCCAUAGAAGUUUACUAAUCUGUGACAGUGGUUACUGCACUCCCAAUUCGGCCAUAGGCGAGUGCAGUUGGAGGAGAAGAGCGAGAAAGACCGCCAAAUCUGCUCCUCAUUUUACAUGUUUUUUGUAAGCCAAUUUCUUUACGGAGACUUAGCAAACACAAAUUUGAGCUGCAGGAUUGAAUUCGCCCUUGGUGGCUUUUGUAUUUGAUUCUAACUGACAUUACUAACAAGAAAAAUUAUACCUUAUCAUCGUGUUCUUUUUGUUUGUUGAAACUUGAUCAGGAUCUAUUUAUAAACUUUUUCAUUGUGUAGCAUCAGUGUAAACUCCUUUUGUAAUGCCUUGCAUUGAAGCUUGGUUCCCCUGAUAAAGGAUGCAGCCCUUUUGGCAAAUAUGCAAACAUUCCCUCCCAGCAAUGCAGGAGGAAGAAGAGGACAAGUAUAUCAACCUAUUACAGCUCAAACUGCUGGUAUGUCAAACUUAUCUAUCAUACUUCUUUACAACCAAAUAUGAGAUGCAUGUUUCUAUUUGUAGCUCUUGUUUUCUGGUGUUAUAUUCUUGACAAUUGACAUGCUACAUACCUUGGUAUGUCUUCAGUAUUUUGUUGUCAACGGAUGGAUUAUAUCAAAGGAGAAAAGGUAAACCUCAAUCUUGUCUCUAAACAAAAAUAUAGACAUCAAAUUAGUUCCUCGGGAUUUGAAAGUAACAAAUUUGUCCUUCAUCAUUCAGUUUUUUAUGCUAGGAUUAAUCUGUUACCCUUUUUCUAAAUUGUGAGGGAAUUUGUCAUUUCUAAAUCUGUCACUCUUCCAUGUGUUUGGCCAAGGAUGAGAUUGGGAGUCUAAAAAGUUAGGGUGAACUUCAGCAUAUGGCUCCCAACUAAUUAACCUUGUUUCUAGAUUCUAAGCAAUCUUCUGUUGUAUCGGUUGACCUAGAGAAGAUUCAUACUACUGAUUUAUGCUGCAGUCAGAUACAAGACUGAUUCCAAUUCUGUAUUUUUAUUGCAACUUAAUUUAUAAUAGUGCCAUUCAUUCCUGUCCAAAAAAAAUGACGUUCAUUGAUCUUUAAUUUGUUGAUCAGUGCAGGGAGUUUUUAGUGUCUCAUCUUACUCAUAGUAUUUCAAUGUGGAGACGGAUGUUGUUGUUGAUAGAAUAAUAUGUUCCUUGAAUCCAGUCCGUGAUGAUUUUUUCAGCAAGAUAGAUGCUAACCCUGAUUUAACUACAACACCACCUCUUCCUUUCUCGCUUCUUUGCAAAUUCUUCUUCCUUGUCCUUGUUGGUAUAACUAUGAUGCAGAAUUGUGUUUUCACUGGCAUAAGCUACAACUCUCACACUCUUGGAUCAGCUAUGAGCAACUUGACUCUGACAAUUACUUUUUUGUUGGCUAUCAUCUUCAGCCAAGAAGUGUAUCCCUUUUCUAAUUGCAUUAAGAGAUAUAAAGCAACACGACAUUACUCAAAGCAUGUGCGGGAUACUGGUUGAUUGGCUUGUAGAGAUUUGCAUAAUGUAAUUUUUCUCAUAUAAUACAAUGUUAUGAAUUAUAGUUGAUAAA